RNA transcript from Sapajus apella (tufted capuchin), 910 nucleotides. It is a transcript of the gene named non-histone chromosomal protein HMG-17 pseudogene, with no coding region annotated. NCBI's taxonomy places the organism in Eukaryota, Metazoa, Chordata, Mammalia, Primates, Cebidae. The transcript has a single exon. The record is from RefSeq and is a predicted model, not a curated record.
AUGUCCCGCCACCAUCGUGCUGCCACCAUGCCCAAGAGAAAGGCUGAAGGGGAUGCUAAGGGAGAUAAAGCCAAGGUGAAGGACGAACCACAGAGAAGAUCCGCGAGGUCAUCUGCUAAACCUGCUCCUCCCAAGCCAGAGCCCAAGCCUAAAAAGGUCCCUGCAAAGAAGGGAGAGAAGGUAUCCAAAGAAACAAAGGGAAAAGCUGAUGCGCAAGGAGGGGAAUAACCCUACAGAAAACAGAGAUGCCAAAACAGACCAGGCACAGAAAGCUGAAGGUGCUGGAGAUGCCAAGUGAAGUGUGUGCAUUUUUUAUAACUGUUUACUUCUGGUGACUGUACAGUUUGAAAUACUAUUUUUUUUUCAAGUUUUAUAAAACUGUAGAAUUUUGCUUUAAUUUUCUUAAGCUAUGUUGUUAGCACACAGAACAUGUCAUUAUUGUUUUGGAGGGAAAGGGCGUAUGUCAUUAAUAGAAUGUCUCUAAAGCUGGAUUGAUGUGGGGAAAACACCUUUCCCUUCUAGUUUUGAAAGACUUCCUCUUGGCUCCCAGGAGAAGGGAUUCCCUGACUUUGACACACAUGGCCAUCUUGGCACAAAAGCCUUGUGGCAUGGAAAAACAAAUUCGUUUUUAUGUCCUCUUCUCCCUUUCCGUCUUUCAGCAUAGACUUAACUCCCUUAAGCCCAGACAUCUGUUGGGACCUGACCCCCAGUCAUUGGUUACCAGUGUGUCAGGCAAUCUAGACUUUGCAGUGAUGCCACUGAGAUGGCACCUGUCAAAAGAGCAGUGGUUCCAUUUGUAGAUUGUGGAUCUUCAGAGAAAUUCUACAAUUUUCAUUUCACUUCCUGAAAGUCAGGGUCGGCUUGUGAAAAGCUGUUAAACAACCUGCUGAAUGUGAAAUGUCAACCUUCA